CCAUGUAGGUGCUGUGACGGUGAUCUCUUGCAUGUGUCGCAGGAUCAUUGUUAGAACCAGCGAGAACGUGGCCAAGACAAAGGAGUUUUCAUACAGAAGAACUGGAAAGGAAGAAUAUCGUGCCGAUGAUUAAGAUGAAGAAGCCGAGGUGAAACACUGUUACUCAUCUGACAGUAGUAGUGUUAACUGGAUGAUGCAAGGCCCAAUGACCAAGCUAAACGGAAACCAGCCAAACUAAAUGACUCACAUAUUUUCGGAUGUCGACCUCCGGUAUUGGGCAUGGUCCAAGUUAUGUCCAACAAGGACAGUAAAUGAAAAACGAAAUUCAUGUUCGCUAGUAUCAUACGCUCGCUGCAUUUCGGCUCCAACCAAAGCACCAACAGCGUCGUCGUCAUCAUUGCUGCACAGGAAAAUUAGCUUGUACAAAGGCGAUUCGUAUGUUUGUCCAGAUUAGAAUUACUCUACGAACCUAUUAUGAAAGUAGAAAGAGUUGCACCAUCGACGGUGGCCCGUCUUUUGAGAAGAAAGUUGUACGACAGCAAUUUAGUGGUACCAUCGAAGCCAAACUUUGUCUCCGAGUCGAAAUAGUACUCGGUGAUGCCCACAAUUUCCCAUUCGGAAUGAUUUGCUGACGACUCGAAUGAUUCCUAACGAAAAUGAACAUUCAAAAUGAACAUUUUUGUUUUCCGUACGAAGGAUUGUUAACGAUCGUGGCACAUACUUCGCCUUUUGCCGAGGUCUCCAUAUAAAUGUCCUCCGAGGAGUGAGCCCAGGAAGAAAUCUGUAUGCUACAGUUCAUUAAAUCAUACGGCCACCAAGUGACGUCUCUUCCGCAAUAUAUCACGUAUGUAAUUUGUGGAACGCAAAUCACGUCGCCGUUAAACAUCACCAAACACUGCGUCUUCGGCAUGCUCAUGUCGACGCCCUCGGUCGUCCUGCGUUCGAGGUCAAUGAAAAUCUUAGGAAAACUAUUAGAUAGCGCGUAGAAUAUGUUUGGUAUUUUUGUUCAUAGGAUCGACGCUCGGUUAAUUAGACUGCGGAUUUUUGCAUAGAAGAAUAAUUGUAUGCAGGAAACAGGGAUCAUAGAAAUGCGCCAAUAAAUGAUUGACGUUUUAAUAGCUAUUUAUCCGGAAUAAAACUUUUCACUUUGUUAUCUUUAAGGAAAUACCUGAUUGGUUUUCUUUGGACGGAUCUGGUUUUCUUUUAUGUUUGUAAUGUAAUUACCGUGCGACGCGGUUAAAAGGCUUUGUAAAAAGAGCGACAAAAAGUUCAUUUGCAAAUGUUAAAGGUUGACAUUAUACGUCGAUUCAAACCGUGAGCAAAUUUACGUAUUAGAUGUACUUAUCGUGGCAUUAUUUCCGAAUGGAAAAAUAACUGUUUUUACAUGUGCAAACAUGUUGUACUGCGUGAAUUGAGAUACCAGAAACUAAAGAAUGUAUAAAUGCAAUAUUUUUACAGCA
Megalopta genalis is the source of this 1460-nucleotide non-coding RNA. The record is from RefSeq and is a predicted model, not a curated record. NCBI's taxonomy places the organism in Eukaryota, Metazoa, Arthropoda, Insecta, Hymenoptera, Halictidae.